GACGAACGCUGGCGGCGUGCUUAACACAUGCAAGUCGAACGGAAAGGCCCUGCUUUUGUGGUGUGCUCGAGUGGCGAACGGGUGAGUAACACGUGAGUAACCUGCCCUUGACUUUGGGAUAACUUCAGGAAACUGGGGCUAAUACCGGAUAGGAGCUCCUGCUGCAUGGUGGGGGUUGGAAAGUUUCGGCGGUUGGGGAUGGACUCGCGGCUUAUCAGCUUGUUGGUGGGGUAGUGGCUUACCAAGGCUUUGACGGGUAGCCGGCCUGAGAGGGUGACCGGCCACAUUGGGACUGAGAUACGGCCCAGAGUCCUACGGGAGGCAGCAGUGGGGAAUAUUGCACAAUGGGCGGAAGCCGGAUGCAGCAACGCCGCGUGCGGGAUGACGGCCUUCGGGUUGUAAACCGCUUUCGCCUGUGACGAAGCGUGAGUGACGGUAAUGGGUAAAGAAGCACCGGCUAACUACGUG
Molecule: ribosomal RNA, 468 nt
Filed under: uncultured bacterium
Lineage: Bacteria
Description: partial 16S ribosomal RNA
Rfam family: Bacterial small subunit ribosomal RNA
Source: RNAcentral